This 513-nucleotide ribosomal RNA is filed under the name Rhantus notaticollis. RNAcentral describes it as "partial 16S ribosomal RNA". It matches the Rfam family "Bacterial large subunit ribosomal RNA", at positions 1819 to 2600 of the family's 2925-position model. Lineage: Eukaryota; Metazoa; Arthropoda; Insecta; Coleoptera; Dytiscidae. The record is from RNAcentral.
GUCCUUUUGAUAUUAAUAUAAGGUCUGACCUGCCCACUGAUUUUUUUGAAGGGCCGCAGUAAUUUGACUGUGCAAAGGUAGCAUAAUCAUUAGUUUUUUAAUUAAAAGCUUGUAUGAAGGGUUGGACGAGGUAAAAUCUGUCUCUAUUUAAAUUAUUAUAGAAUUUAAUUUUUAAGUUAAAAAGCUUAAAUUUAUUUAAAAGACGAGAAGACCCUAUAGAUCUUUAUAUAAAUUGUAUUAAUUUUAAUUAAGAAUAUUUUAUUUAUUAUUAUUAUUUAUAUUUUAUUGGGGUAAUAAAAAGAUUAAGAAAAUUCUUUUUUUAUUUAAACAUUGAUUUAUGAUUAAAUGAUCCAAUAUUUUUGAUUAAAAGAUUAAGUUACCUUAGGGAUAACAGCGUAAUUUUUUUAGAGAGUUCAUAUCGAUAAAAAAGUUUGCGACCUCGAUGUUGGAUUAAAAAUUAUCUUAGGUGCAGAAGUUUAAGAUUUUGGUCUGUUCGACCAUUAAAUUUUUACA